This 800-nucleotide ribosomal RNA is filed under the name uncultured bacterium. Its description in RNAcentral is "bacterial SSU rRNA". It matches the Rfam family "Bacterial small subunit ribosomal RNA", at positions 207 to 996 of the family's 1533-position model. The record is from RNAcentral.
UUCGGACCUUGCGCUAAAUGAUGAGCNUAAGUCGGAUUAGCUAGUUGGUGGGGUAAAGGCCUACCAAGGCGACGAUCUGUAGCGGGUCUGAGAGGAUGAUCCGCCACACUGGGACUGAGACACGGCCCAGACUCCUACGGGAGGCAGCAGUGGGGAAUAUUGGACAAUGGGCGAAAGCCUGAUCCAGCCAUGCCGCGUGUGUGAAGAAGGCCUUUUGGUUGUAAAGCACUUUAAGCGAGGAGGAGGCUACUAGUACUAAUACUACUGGAUAGUGGACGUUACUCGCAGAAUAAGCACCGGCUAACUCUGUGCCAGCAGCCGCGGUAAUACAGAGGGUGCGAGCGUUAAUCGGAUUUACUGGGCGUAAAGCGUGCGUAGGCGGCUUUUUAAGUCGGAUGUGAAAUCCCCGAGCUUAACUUGGGAAUUGCAUUCGAUACUGGGAAGCUAGAGUAUGGGAGAGGAUGGUAGAAUUCCAGGUGUAGCGGUGAAAUGCGUAGAGAUCUGGAGGAAUACCGAUGGCGAAGGCAGCCAUCUGGCCUAAUACUGACGCUGAGGUACGAAAGCAUGGGGAGCAAACAGGAUUAGAUACCCUGGUAGUCCAUGCCGUAAACGAUGACUACUAGCCGUUGGGGCCUUUGAGGCUUUAGUGGCGCAGCUAACGCGAUAAGUAGACCGCCUGGGGAGUACGGUCGCAAGACUAAAACUCAAAUGAAUUGACGGGGGCCCGCACAAGCGGUGGAGCAUGUGGUUUAAUUCGAUGCAACGCGAAGAACCUUACCUGGCCUUGACAUACUAGAAAC